CAGGAAAAAUGCACAGCUCACUCAUAAAGAAAUACAGAUUUAAACUACACACAUAUGCCAUUUUUCAUAUCUGAGGUUCACAAAGAUGACAAAGUCUGACAAGACCCUGGGGAAGAUGUGGGCAAAUAGGCACUGCAAGCCAGAGCAGUAAAGAUGUAAGAUGGUACAACAUGGACCACAUAAAGUCAGUGCUCCAGCAUUCUCAUUCUAGAUAUGCUUCCUGCAGAUUCCUGUAUGUGUAAAAAGCCUGUGUGUAUAUGUUCACUGCAGCCAAAAAAUGAACUGAAUAGAUUGUGGCAAAUUCAUCUAGUAGAAGACUUUGUCCUCAUUUUUAAAAAAAAGAAAGAUAAUGGUGCUUUUUAUAAUCUGACAUAGAAAGACCUGCACAAUACAUUA
Long non-coding RNA from Perognathus longimembris pacificus (Pacific pocket mouse), 396 nucleotides. RefSeq lists it as uncharacterized. NCBI's taxonomy places the organism in Eukaryota, Metazoa, Chordata, Mammalia, Rodentia, Heteromyidae. The record is from RefSeq and is a predicted model, not a curated record. The transcript is spliced from 2 exons.